This 468-nucleotide ribosomal RNA is filed under the name uncultured bacterium. RNAcentral describes it as "partial 16S ribosomal RNA". The stretch from base 56 to 468 matches the Rfam family "Bacterial small subunit ribosomal RNA", at positions 39 to 507 of the family's 1533-position model. The record is from RNAcentral.
GGGGGGGGGGGGGGGGGGGGGGGGGGGGGGCGGGGGGGGCGGAGGGGCCCGGGGGGUGGGGGGUGGUCGAGGGGGGGACGGGUGGGUGGGAGGUGGGUGGGCUGCCGUUGACGUUGGGAUGACGUCUGGAAACUGGGGCUAAUACCUGAUCGGGGCUCCUGCGGCAGGGUGGGGGUUGGAAAGUUUCGGCGGUUGGGGAUGGACUCGCGGCUUAUCAGCUUGUUGGUGGGGUAGUGGCUUACCAAGGCUGUGACGGGUAGCCGGCCUGAGAGGGUGACCGGCCACAUUGGGACUGAGAUACGGCCCAGACUCCUACGGGAGGCAGCAGUGGGGAAUAUUGCACAAUGGGCGGAAGCCUGAUGCAGCAACGCCGCGUGCGGGAUGACGGCCUUCGGGUUGUAAACCGCUUUCGCCUGUGACGAAGCGUGAGUGACGGUAAUGGGUAAAGAAGCACCGGCUAACUACGUG